This 3714-nucleotide long non-coding RNA is filed under the name Marmota monax (woodchuck). Lineage: Eukaryota; Metazoa; Chordata; Mammalia; Rodentia; Sciuridae. The record is from RNAcentral.
ACCGCGCUAGGCGGUUGGCACUUCGAGCUCUUCGCUGGCAGCUCUCGGGGCGCGGGGAAGGGGUGACUCUUACCCGGAGGCUGUCCAGCGGGAGCCGGCGGUCGGCCUGGGCGGCUGCUGUAAUCCACUAAGCACAGCCUGGCUGCGCGCACUCUGGGCAGCAGGAACUGGCUCAUGUUGGAGAAGAAACCGCGUCGGAACCGCGCGGCUAGUCACCCGGAGCAGGCCUGCUGCUGCCGGCAGGCGGUGUCAGCGCGGCGGGGGGCUCGGCGGUCCUUCCGGGCUCCCCACCAGCUCCGGAGGCGGCCGCGGUGCGUCCGGAGCUAGCGGCCGUAGGGUCAGGCCCGGCGCCGGGCAGGAGCCGAGGCCGCAACGGACCCCGCAACCCCGCAGCCGCCGACUGGAGCCCACCUCUGCAGAGACAAAGGUUAGAAAAAGAGGGGGUGAGGCUCUGGGAAAGCAGAAUGCGGGGGGAAAUUCGCCUGGGAAAUCAGGAAAAAGGCCGUGAAGGCGAGCGGCGCCUGCACAUGACCAGCCGCAGCCAAUGACGACCGCAAAUAGGUCAUAAAAAGGUCUAUUACCAAGUUGUAAAUUUUCUUCAAACAAAAAGGAAUUUACUGCAAUUCCUUGCGGAUUUUGCACAUACAGCUCGCAAGCGCCAUGUUUUUUCCUCUUCCCCGUCUUUCUUUUUCUCGCUUUUUGCUGUCCUCUCCCUCCUUUCUCUCUCUCUCAGUCCCACUCCUCCAGUCCUUUUUUCCUCUUGUCUCCCAGGUCUGUUGGUCUUUCUCUCUUUCCUCUCCACCCUCUCUCUCUCUUUUCUCCCUCGCUCUCCGCCUCUCCUCUCUUCUUUUUCUAGGAACAUGUGUGUGUAUUUAAUUUGGCUUAAAACCUCUGUGCCUUUGGCUGCCCCUGUUGGAAAUGGUUGGCUCAGGUGCUAAGGAGGUCAUUCCUCCAGCAAACCCCCAAUGUCUUCCACUACCUUGAUAACUUGGCUUCUCCUCCCUUCCCUUCAUAAAAGGCUUGUCCAGAGGGGUAGCCAAGCACUUUCAUUUUUACCCUCUUACUUAAGGCAAGCAAACCCCAGUGAUCUUGCCCAGAAAAUCUGGGCUCUGCAGACCAAGAAAGCACAAUCUCCCCUCCCACUCCUCUCCAAUAUAAAUUCAGAUCUUCCAUUUGCUGGGGAUUUCUUUGGUAGAAGAAUUACCAACCAGUCCAAUAGCUGAAAUGGUUUUAAGUACUUGUCAACCUCUCUAAAACAAGUUUGGGCAUCCACUGUUUGGUCAGUGUCUCUGUAUAAACAUCCUCCUAGACAGUCUUGGGUUACAAGUAAUCAUUUGGGAUCCCCUCUGAGAGCAAUUCUCAUUUCUGUGAAAUUUAAUCCUAGCUCCUCUUUUUCUCCUUGAACCCCAAAUAUUUGCCCAUUGAAAAGUCUAUUCAAUGCAGUUGUGAAGAGGAGGGCUCCUUUCUCCUUUUCCUGUUCAGAAAAGGAGUGACUCCCCAAAACCAGUCAAAAAUAACAAUUGUUUUUCCUCAAAGGCAGGUGUCACAUCUUUGCACUUUUCAUAGAACUCUGCCUGAAAGUAAAUGUCCUCAGCUGGCCUCCAGUAUUCCCCUCAUGGGCAUGGUCAUCCAGGUUUCAGUACGUGCCUGAAAAAGGUUAUCUCCCCCACCACCCCGCCAGCAUAUUGCCAAUCUUUUCCUUAAAGAUAGCCUUUAUGGACUACUAACAAUAUUUGUAUUUUGUAUUGGUUAUGUGUGUUUAAAUUCUCUACUAGUACCAUCUUCACACUAAGUACCUCAGUGAAUGUAGACUUCAGCAGGAAAUGGCACACCAUCCUCUGGAAUAGGCAAUUUGUAACCUAUGAGGAAAUUCAGAUGACCUUGGAUGUUUUUUAUUAAAGGACUUCUGUUGCCAUUUGUCAGCAAAAGUCAUAUUCUUUCUAGAAAAGCCAGUGGGUCCUAAUUUUGCUAAAGGGAACCACAGAAGCAGACAAGCGUUCAUUCAAAUAUUCUCUCUUCCCCUUCCCACCCCCAGAUGCCCAAGGACUCAGAAAAUACCUUGGAAGUAGAAGACAAAAGAUUGAAUGUGAAAUGGCAACACCUUCUGCAUUGAAGACUAAAAAAUGUUUUAUUACACAAGGAGUUGGAGCAAGUUGUUGGGCCCUCUCAAGUCUAGAACACUUUCUACUGAUCUAUACACAUGAACUGAGGAAAGAGUAUUGAAUUCUAAAAAUUUUCUGAGAAAUAAUCUCGAUAAUCAAUUUGUCUUUUUAUUUUCUCCCCUUUUACCCAAAUAAAGCAGAGCUUCAUGACCCUCCUUUUCAAAUUGGGGAACGAGGACUGGGAAGAGACUCUUGGCACUGAAUGGCAGCCAUAUUUGCUUUUUCCCCUUCUGUGCAGAAGUAAGCAAUGCAUUGAUCUUUGUGGAACCUUACAAAAUGGCAUCCCUGAACUGUCUUUUCUCUAGACUGAGACCUACAUCCUCUUUUGUGUUUCUCAUUCUUGCAAGUACAAAGCCUAAUUCACUUGGAAAGCUUAGCUUUUUCAUUGUUAACAUUGGAGGGUCCUAUUUUUUCUUACAGACUUAGGCAGAUUGCUGCAGCUCCGGGCAGAAAAGCACUGCCUGGAUUUGCAAAGGGUUCUCUGAAGGUUUAUGCAAAUUUUUGCAGCAAAAAAUGUUUGUUUGUUGCUACAAAGCUUGAAUGUUUACCGAUCUGAGCCAAUUAGAAAGGCAACUUGGGUGCUCGUCACUGUUCCUCUGUCUAUAUGAGAUACCAUGAUGGAGGGGUGGAGAUGUCUAGCCAUUAUAAGAGAAGGUGUCGAAUAUGUGUGAUGUGUAACUCCUCAAGGUCUUUAUUUGGAGACAAACCUAUGUGUUUCCUAACUACAGAAGAAAAUACAUAUACCUACGUUCAUAACUAACACUUUCUCCAUGUGUAUAAUCUAUGUAUAUGUACAAACUCACUUCUCAAAUGUAUCAGUUAUUGAAAUGAAGUCAUUUUCUGUAUAUGAGCUAUGAUCAUGGUGUAGGGGACCAGCAGGGUCAGAAGGUUCAUUUCCAGAUCAGCACAGAAUGCCAAGGAAGGGACAUUUUUACCUUCCCUUCACCUUUCCACGUCUACCCAUGCACUAGGUCCCUCACCUAAUAAAGAGACUUGCUCAAAUCUAUAGUUCUAAAAGUGAUAUUUGGGGAGCAUUUUUGAGUGGGAGAUCAAGUUUUGCUAAUAUACAGAAGACUCCCUUAAACCAACUAGAGUUUAGAUAAGCACAGAUCUUUGGAUAGUUUAUGCUUGGGGCUGCUCCCCAGCCAUGCCAUCAGCCCUAGGCAUCCUUCUCUGUAAUAGCCAAUAUUUCAGGCAGCAGCACACAAUGCAAAACAUUCUCAAAUCCAGCAUGUGCAUUUGCAGCUGUCUCCUCUCAUCCAAGUGUUUUAGCCUUGGCCACCCAUGAUUUAAAACUGUCUUUCCUGGAUUAAAGAGCCUCUUCCCAGGGUGGAAAGCCAGGUAGGUGGUGCUUCAUCUCUGACCUGGCCAAUACCAAUAUUUCUCUAGUUAGUGGAACAGCAGAAAGAUGCCUGGCAAUACCUAAGGGAGCAGGCAAGACUGGCCCCAAACUAAAGAUCAUCUUUUCUUACCUGUGCAAUAAAAACCACUCUGGAAAUUAAAAUGUGUCUCUAAUCUAUUCCCAGCACCAUGUACAAACACACAAAUGUGC